Synchiropus splendidus (mandarinfish) is the source of this 3053-nucleotide long non-coding RNA. RefSeq lists it as uncharacterized. The record is from RefSeq and is a predicted model, not a curated record. The transcript is spliced from 3 exons. Lineage: Eukaryota; Metazoa; Chordata; Actinopteri; Syngnathiformes; Callionymidae.
GCCACGCAGCAGAUCACCAGGUCGCCUUUGCCCCCGUCAGCCUCGGUCAACUCCGCUUUCAGAGUCCGAAGCCCCUCAGCCGAGCGAGCCGCCAGGACAAAGGCCGACCCGGGCUUCAAGACCCGAGAGAUCGUCUUCGCUGCAGCCCGACCGAAUCCCCUGGAGGCUCCGGUGAUGAUGCACAGGGCUCGGCCCAAGUCGGCGUUGUUAUCGGCCUGCAUGAUGCUGCAACUGACGGACUGAAGUGGCGCAACCGACUGUGUACAUUUAAAGGUGACCGGCAAGGUGGCUGAGCUGGGAGCGCACCAGAUAUGUUACAAGGAUUUCAUGGCAACAGAGUGGUGUCAGACCCACCUUGAGGAGGUUCCCAGGGCUGUUAUGAGAGCCUGGAGAAGACCAGCGAUGAAGAUGAAGGGGUUUUGACGUGUGAUGACAAAGUACAGAGUGGGCAAGAUGAUGAUGGCGUGGAUCAUCAAUCCAAUGAUGACGGUGAUGGUGUACAUGCCCAGCUGACCGCCCAUCUGAGUCAGAUCAUCCAUCUCUACUAUCUUUCCUGCUAUCAGGAACAAGAUGCCAAUGGGGGCGUACCUGAUGUCAUAAGAGGAAAUAGUUAAAUGAGGGGCUGCUGGUCCAGCCUGCAACGAAAUCAAGAUCUUACCACAUGAUGAUGGCUACAAGGCGCAUGAUGGCCUCGUUGAGGCUGUCGAAGAAGUCUCUCAAGAGUUGGCCCUGCUCCUUCAUGUUCCCGAUUAUCAGUCCGAAACACAUGGAGAAGACGACCAGCCCCAGAGCGUUGACCCCAUACACCUGACCUGGUAUGGGGAUCACCUCCUCUCGCGUGAGCUCCAUCACCUCCUGGGUGCCGUUGGUUGAGUUGAACAAGGUGUCGUUGACUGUCACAGUCACGUGGACCGCGCGCUUCCCAUACUUGGUUUUGAACUGAAUUGUAAGAGAUGAAGGCACAUGUCGGAGCAGGAACACUGUAAGCUUAAUUCAUUGAUCUGCUUACCUGCUGUGUGCAAGCUUGCACCAGGUUGGGGGGAAACAUGUUCCUGAAGCGACAACAAAGCUCAGACGUCAUGAUCAAACUUUGCUCUUCUUUCGCCCUUUUAUGCUCAUACGAUUCUCUACCUGAUCAGAUCCAAAAAGGCAUCAGCAGGACUGACUUGCUCGAUGGUUUGCUGCUUCCCAAACUCCUCCUUGGAUCCUUUUCCGGGGUGGAUGAUUAGAACAAUUAAUAUUCCGAUGAAGACGGCGAUGAAGGUUGUUGUCAUGUAAUAAAUGACCGCUCUGAUUCCCAUCUUCCCUGAAGCUUUGCUGUCCAGUGCUGCCAUCCCUGAUGAAGAAAAAUGAGUAUUUCAUGUUGCUAUUUUCAGCAUGUGUGGAACACAAUGAAGAUUUGAAACUAUCAUAAAUGUUUCUAGAUGUAUAUCUUUAAGCACAGCAACUAUUAAUCAUUAGGUCUGGGAUGAAAUCUGUAUGUUUUACAUGUGUGAUGUCUUGUUACACACAUGAUUUCAUGAUGAUUUUGGUGUAUUUUGCAGCAUUGUAUCAUCUCAUACUACAUCUACUAUACUAUAUUGCCAAAUAUUUUACCUUAAACAGAAUGAAAAUGUUCCAUUCUAUUAUAUCCACUAUAUAUUCUAUUCUGAGUCUCAGAUGGAGAUGCAAGGUCUUGACUGUUACCUCUGUUUUCUAUUCAUGUCAAGCGUUUUUCCAAAAAUUUAAUUCUACUAAGAAAAAAAGAAUGAUAAUAAGUAAAGAAUGUCUUUUGUACUAAUGGGGUUUGGCAGUCAGUAGAUGAUGUAUGUAUGAUGUACUUAUAAUUAUGAUGUUGUAUAAUUACCUACAAAACUCACAAAACGUCAGAAUCAUGUACCUGUAAUUAGACUGGAGACCAGCAGGGGCAGCACUAGCAUCUGAAGCAUCCUCAUCAACAGCUCACCAGGGAAUGAAAAGUACUUGAUUUCUCGAUAGGUCAUCUUGUAGGGACGCAACGCGAAGCCCAGAAUAAUCCCUGUGGAGAGAAUUAUCGCUUGGGAUUUAUUUCGCUUUCUUCUAACUAUCCAGAUCAUUUAUCGGAUGUUCGAUACGAACCCACAACAACUGCACAAACUGUAAAAAGCACAAAUGCAUUUUUCUUGAGGAAAGCUUGGAUGUCCUCUUUGGAUAUCUCCUCCACUUUCCUCUUGGCCUUCAUGGUGCGGAUGUGUAUCCCUUCCCUGAUCCGCUGCAUCCUGCUGGAGGGAACCAAAGGGUUCGGGUUAAUGUGAAAGCAGAGGUUAAAGUGCAGAAGUCGGCAUAGUUUGGUGAAGGAUAUCAUUUCUGCAGCUCGACUUUUAGAUGUUUUGGCAGGGGACAUUACACCCCACUUCCUCAGUGAGUGUUGCCACAUCACAGCCUUGCCAUUAUGAAAUACAUUUCUGAGCCAUUAACCUCGAUGUGUUUUUGGAGCCCAAAAACAGACACCAGCACACGUGAACUACUGCUGCGACUGUUACUACCACAAAUGCUGCUGAUAAUAAUAGUUAACAUCAGUAGAAUAUUUAAAUAGCGCCAAUAACAUAUAGUUUUGAUGUUAAGCUAAAAUUUAAAUACCGUUUUAUGUAGACAGAGUAGUCCUGACCAAAUUUUAGCCUUUUCUUCGAGCUUGGACCCAUCUGAAGAGCCUGACUUGCAUGGGUGGGUCAACAUGUCUAUGAUGUUGCCUGGCACCAGCCCAAAUGGUGUUUUUUUUUUAAAUAAAAUUUCAAAAACGGACCGCAAAGAAUUCUGUGAAGCAAAAACCUGAGCGAUGCGACAUUAGUACGAGUGAGAAGCCUGACUGCUGAGUUCAAGAUCAGAUGAAGUGAUAGUGAUGAGGAGGUAGUUACAGUAGUAAAGAUGUGUAGGGUUUGUGACUUUCAUAUGGAAACUUAAUAUAAAAAGUUUGACGCAUGCAGAUGGUCAGCUGUCCCAUGGCUCAGUCAGUCAUCAGAAAUACAGAAUGUAUCGAUCACCUACCUUUGCUUGGAAUUCUUGAAUAGAACGGUGAGUGAAUGAAGCGACUCCUU